This 555-nucleotide ribosomal RNA is filed under the name Bifidobacterium bifidum. RNAcentral describes it as "bacterial SSU rRNA". It matches the Rfam family "Bacterial small subunit ribosomal RNA", at positions 144 to 711 of the family's 1533-position model. The record is from RNAcentral. Lineage: Bacteria; Bacillati; Actinomycetota; Actinomycetes; Bifidobacteriales; Bifidobacteriaceae.
UCUCCCUGGAAAACGGGUGGUAAUGCCGGAUGUUCCACAUGAUCGCAUGUGAUUGUGGGAAAGAUUCUAUCGGCGUGGGAUGGGGUCGCGUCCUAUCAGCUUGUUGGUGAGGUAACGGCUCACCAAGGCUUCGACGGGUAGCCGGCCUGAGAGGGCGACCGGCCACAUUGGGACUGAGAUACGGCCCAGACUCCUACGGGAGGCAGCAGUGGGGAAUAUUGCACAAUGGGCGCAAGCCUGAUGCAGCGACGCCGCGUGAGGGAUGGAGGCCUUCGGGUUGUAAACCUCUUUUGUUUGGGAGCAAGCCUUCGGGUGAGUGUACCUUUCGAAUAAGCGCCGGCUAACUACGUGCCAGCAGCCGCGGUAAUACGUAGGGCGCAAGCGUUAUCCGGAUUUAUUGGGCGUAAAGGGCUCGUAGGCGGCUCGUCGCGUCCGGUGUGAAAGUCCAUCGCUUAACGGUGGAUCUGCGCCGGGUACGGGCGGGCUGGAGUGCGGUAGGGGAGACUGGAAUUCCCGGUGUAACGGUGGAAUGUGUAGAUAUCGGAAAGAACACCA